GCCCAUAAGACUGGGAUAACUCCGGGAAACCGGGGCUAAUACCGGAUAACAUUUUGAACCGCAUGGUUCGAAAUUGAAAGGCGGCUUCGGCUGUCACUUAUGGAUGGACCCGCGUCGCAUUAGCUAGUUGGUGAGGUAACGGCUCACCAAGGCAACGAUGCGUAGCCGACCUGAGAGGGUGAUCGGCCACACUGGGACUGAGACACGGCCCAGACUCCUACGGGAGGCAGCAGUAGGGAAUCUUCCGCAAUGGACGAAAGUCUGACGGAGCAACGCCGCGUGAGUGAUGAAGGCUUUCGGGUCGUAAAACUCUGUUGUUAGGGAAGAACAAGUGCUAGUUGAAUAAGCUGGCACCUUGACGGUACCUAACCAGAAAGCCACGGCUAACUACGUGCCAGCAGCCGCGGUAAUACGUAGGUGGCAAGCGUUAUCCGGAAUUAUUGGGCGUAAAGCGCGCGCAGGUGGUUUCUUAAGUCUGAUGUGAAAGCCCACGGCUCAACCGUGGAGGGUCAUUGGAAACUGGGAGACUUGAGUGCAGAAGAGGAAAGUGGAAUUCCAUGUGUAGCGGUGAAAUGCGUAGAGAUAUGGAGGAACACCAGUGGCGAAGGCGACUUUCUGGUC
This 621-nucleotide ribosomal RNA is filed under the name Bacillus cereus. RNAcentral describes it as "bacterial SSU rRNA". It matches the Rfam family "Bacterial small subunit ribosomal RNA", at positions 128 to 734 of the family's 1533-position model. The record is from RNAcentral. Lineage: Bacteria; Bacillati; Bacillota; Bacilli; Caryophanales; Bacillaceae.